This 406-nucleotide ribosomal RNA is filed under the name uncultured bacterium. RNAcentral describes it as "partial 16S ribosomal RNA". It matches the Rfam family "Bacterial small subunit ribosomal RNA", at positions 30 to 526 of the family's 1533-position model. The record is from RNAcentral.
AUUGAACGCUGGCGGCAGGCCUAACACAUGCAAGUCGAACGAGUGGCGGACGGGUGAGUAAUGUCUGGGAAACUGCCUGAUGGAGGGGGAUAACUACUGGAAACGGUAGCUAAUACCGCAUACCAUCGGAUGUGCCCAGAUGGGCUUAGCUAGUAGGUGGGGUAACGGCUCACCUAGGAGACGAUCCCUAGCUGGUCUGAGAGGAUGACCCGGCACACUGGAACUGAGACACGGUCCAGACGCCUACGUGAGGCAGCGGUGGGGAAUAUUGCACAAUGGGCGCAAGGCUGAUGCAGCCAUGCCGCGUGUGUGAAGAAGGCCUUCGGGUUGUAAGGCACUUUCAGCGGGGAGGGGUUACCCGCAGAAGAAGCACCGGCUAACUCCGUGCCAGCAGCCGCGGUAAUAC